CCUACGGGGGGCAGCAGUAGGGAAUCUUUCACAAUGGGCGAAAGCCUGAUGGAGCAACGCCGCGUGCAGGAUGAAGGCCUUCGGGUUGUAAACUGCUUUUAUAAGCGAGAAAUAUGAUGGUAACUUAUGAAUAAGGAUCGGCUAACUACGUGCCAGCAGCCGCGGUCAUACGUAGGAUCCGAGCAUUAUCCGGAGUGACUGGGUGUAAAGAGUUGCGUAGGUGGCAUAAUAAGUAGCUAGUGAAAUCUGGUGGCUCAACCAUUCAGACUAUUAGCUAAACUGUUAAGCUCGAGACCGUUAGGGGUAACUGGAAGUUCUAGUGUAGGAGUGAAAUCCGUAGAUAUUAGAAGGAACACCAAUAGCGUAGGCAGGUUGCUGGGACGGUUCUGACACUAAGGCACGAAAGCGUAGGGAGCAAACGGGAUUAGAUACCCCAGUAGUC
RNAcentral lists this ribosomal RNA (442 nucleotides) under uncultured bacterium. RNAcentral describes it as "partial 16S ribosomal RNA". It matches the Rfam family "Bacterial small subunit ribosomal RNA", at positions 338 to 795 of the family's 1533-position model. The record is from RNAcentral.